AACGAACGCUGGCGGCAGGCUUAACACAUGCAAGUCGAGCGCCCCGCAAGGGGAGCGGCAGACGGGUGAGUAACGCGUGGGAAUCAACCCAAUACUACGGAAUAGCUCCGGGAAACUGGAAUUAAUACCGUAUGUGCCCUACGGGGGAAAGAUUUAUCGGUAUUGGAUGAGCCCGCGUUGGAUUAGCUAGUUGGUGGGGUAAUGGCCUACCAAGGCGACGAUCCAUAGCUGGUCUGAGAGGAUGAUCAGCCACACUGGGACUGAGACACGGCCCAGACUCCUACGGGAGGCAGCAGUGGGGAAUAUUGGACAAUGGGCGAAAGCCUGAUCCAGCCAUGCCGCGUGGGUGAUGAAGGCCUUAGGGUUGUAAAGCUCUUUUAGUGGGGAAGAUAAUGACGGUACCCACAGAAAAAGCCCCGGCUAACUUCGUGCCAGCCGCCGCGGUAA
Molecule: ribosomal RNA, 447 nt
Filed under: uncultured bacterium
Lineage: Bacteria
Description: partial 16S ribosomal RNA
Rfam family: Bacterial small subunit ribosomal RNA
Source: RNAcentral